RNAcentral lists this ribosomal RNA (292 nucleotides) under uncultured bacterium. Its description in RNAcentral is "partial 16S ribosomal RNA". It matches the Rfam family "Bacterial small subunit ribosomal RNA", at positions 505 to 796 of the family's 1533-position model. The record is from RNAcentral.
GUGUCAGCAGCCGCGGUAAGACGAACCGUGCGAACGUUGUUCGGAUUCACUGGGCUUAAAGGGCGCGUAGGCGGGCCACUCAGUCCGGGGUGAAAUCUUUCGGCUUAACCGGAAACGUGCCUUGGAGACGGGUGGUCUGGAGGGAGAUAGGGGCAGGUGGAACUUCCGGUGGAGCGGUGAAAUGCGUUGAUAUCGGAAGGAACGCCGGUGGCGAAAGCGACCUGCUGGAUCUCUACUGACGCUGAGGCGCGAAAGCCAGGGGAGCGAACGGGAUUAGAAACCCCCGUAGUCC